AACGAACGCUGGCGGUGUGCUUAACACAUGCAAGUCGAACGAGUACUUCGGUACUAGUGGCGGACGGGUGAGUAAUACAUAGAUAAUCUGCCUUAAAGUGGGGGAUAACUAGCCGAAAGGUUAGCUAAUACCGCAUAAUGUUGUAGUUUGAAACAGCUGCAAAGAAAGGAGUAAUUCGCUUUUAGAGGAGUCUAUGGUCGAUUAGCUAGUUGGUGGGGUAAAGGCCUACCAAGGCGACGAUCGAUAGCUGGUCUGAGAGGACGAUCAGCCACACUGGGACUGAGACACGGCCCAGACUUCUACGGAAGGCAGCAGUGGGGAAUUUUCCGCAAUGGGCGAAAGCCUGACGGAGCGACACCGCGUGGAGGAUGAAGUUUUUAGGAACGUAAACUCCUUUCGACAGGGACGAAUAAAUUGACGGUACCUGUAGAAGAAGCAUCGGCUAACUACGUGCCAGCAGCCGCGGU
RNAcentral lists this ribosomal RNA (467 nucleotides) under uncultured bacterium. RNAcentral describes it as "bacterial SSU rRNA". It matches the Rfam family "Bacterial small subunit ribosomal RNA", at positions 29 to 521 of the family's 1533-position model. The record is from RNAcentral.